GAAAUGCGAUAAGUAAUGUGAAUUGCAGAAUUCAGUGAAUCAUCGAAUCUUUGAACGCACCUUGCGCUCCUUGGUAUUCCUUGGAGCAUGCCUGUUUAAGUAUCAUGAAAUCUUCAAAGUAAAUCUUUUGUUAACUCAAUUGGUUUCUACUUUGGUAUUGGAGGUCUUUGCAGCUUCACACCUGCUCCUCUUUGUUCAUUAGCUGGAUCUCAGUGUUAUGCUUGGUUCCACUCGGCGUGAUAAGUUAUCUAUCGCUGAGGACACUGUAAAAGGUGGCAAAGGUAAAUGCAGAUGAACCGCUUCUAAUAGUCCAUUGACUUGGACAAUACUUUUAUGAUCUGAUCUCAAAUCAGGUAGGACUACCCGCUGAACUUAAGC
Molecule: unclassified non-coding RNA, 378 nt
Filed under: plant metagenome
Description: partial contains 5.8S ribosomal RNA, internal transcribed spacer 2, and large subunit ribosomal RNA
Rfam family: 5.8S ribosomal RNA (bases 1-105)
Source: RNAcentral